RNAcentral lists this ribosomal RNA (829 nucleotides) under uncultured bacterium. RNAcentral describes it as "partial dissimilatory sulfite reductase alpha subunit". The record is from RNAcentral.
ACGCACUGGAAGCACGGCGGCAUCGUAGGCGUGACCGGAUAUGGCGGCGGCGUGAUCGGCCGGUAUUCCGACAGUCCGGAAAGAUUCCCGGGCGUGGCCGAGUUCCAUACGGUGCGCGUGAACCAGCCCAGUGGUUGGUUCUACUCCACCAAGGCACUCCGCGAGAUUUGCGACAUCUGGGACAAGUACGGUAGCGGCCUGACCAAUCUCCACGGCUCCACCGGAGACAUUAUCCUGCUGGGAACCACCACCGCCAACCUGCAACCCUGCUUUGACGACCUCAGUGAGCACGGCUACGACCUGGGCGGUUCCGGAUCGGCGUUGCGGACUCCCAGCUGUUGCGCGGGCCCGGCGCGCUGCGAGGUCUCUUGCAUCGACACUCUGGACAUCUGCCACAGCCUGACCCUCGAGUUUCAGGACGAGCUCCAUCGUCCCAUGUGGCCCUAUAAGUUCAAGAUCAAGGUUUCGGGUUGCGGCAACGACUGCGUGGCAGCCAUUCCGCGGGCCGAUUUCGCCAUUGUGGGCACCUGGCGGGAUGCCCUCCGCAUCGACCAGGAUGCCGUGCGCGAAUACGCCGAGGAGGGCUUCGACAUCCAGGGCAAGGUGGUGGACCGCUGUCCGACCAAAGCGCUGUCCUACGAUCCCGCGGCGAAACAGCUCUCCGUGCGCGUGGAGGACUGCGUACGCUGCGUCCACUGCAUCAACAAGAUGCCCAAGGCCAUCAGUCCCGGCCUGGAUCGGGGUGCCACGCUGCUGAUCGACGGCAAGGCUACCAUCCUGCAGAGCGCCUUCCUGUCCUGGGUCAUCGUACCCUUUCAUGAAGAUGGAG